Molecule: long non-coding RNA, 204 nt
Organism: Eurytemora carolleeae
Lineage: Eukaryota; Metazoa; Arthropoda; Copepoda; Calanoida; Temoridae
Exons: 3
Source: RefSeq, a predicted model, not a curated record
UGGAGCAGCUGGCCUAGGUGUGCGGUCAACAUAGUUCCUGUUCUAGCCCUACACAGGUAGACAGAUGCGAGGGUUGGGACUACUCAUGCUGUUCGCCCUUUUUGGGCUAGGGUACUGCAGACAGGUUGAAGUUGAGGAUGUGACUGGGCGACAGUUUGAGGCGGCGGCGGAAACCGAAGAUAUUUUGGCUGUGUACUGGUGUAA